ACGUAGGCAGCGAGCGUUGUUCGGAAUUACUGGGCGUAAAGAGUGUGUAGGCGGUGCUCCAAGUCUGGUGUGAAAUCUCCCGGCUUAACUGGGAGGGUGCGCUAGAAACUGGAAUGCUAGAGGAUGGGAUAGGUAAGCGGAAUUCCUGGUGUAGCGGUGAAAUGCGUAGAUAUCAGGAGGAACACCUGUGGUGUAGACAGCUUACUGGACCAUUUCUGACGCUGAGACACGAAAGCGUGGGUAGCAAACAGGAUUAGAUACCCUGGUAGUCCACGCCCUAAACGAUGCAUACUUGGUGUGAGCGAUUCAUUUCGUUCGUGCCGGAGCUAACGCGUUAAGUAUGCCGCCUGGGGAGUACGGUCGCAAGGCUG
RNAcentral lists this ribosomal RNA (371 nucleotides) under uncultured bacterium. Its description in RNAcentral is "bacterial SSU rRNA". It matches the Rfam family "Bacterial small subunit ribosomal RNA", at positions 525 to 896 of the family's 1533-position model. The record is from RNAcentral.